UCAAAGCUGGGGCUUAGGCGCUGCGCUGGGGUCGUGGCGGCGCGGGCUCUGGGGGAGAGGAGGGAGGCAGCAUGGAAGCCCCCCCAAACACACAGCACCCCUCACUGUCCAGAGUUCUGGGUCACCGCUGCUGGGGUUCUGGUUGAAUCUUGAUGGCUCUCCUUUCGGUGGUAUUUGAUGUCCCUUCCCUCCAGAGGGAGCAAAGAUGAAGCCCCAGCCAGCAGACACUCCCGAAGACCCACAAGAGUGUGGAGUCCUCCAGGGCAGACCUGACUCCAGUCUCCCUACCCCAGGACUCACAUGCCUGAGGAAAUUCAGCAAGUGGUUCCUGUGAGAUGGUGCCCUGCCUCUUUCCCACUGUGUGGGUUCAGAAGGCCUACGGCCAUGCCACGGCAGUCACUGUUAGCUUCUCUGAUGUCCUCAAGCC
Nannospalax galili (Upper Galilee mountains blind mole rat) is the source of this 427-nucleotide long non-coding RNA. RefSeq lists it as uncharacterized. Lineage: Eukaryota; Metazoa; Chordata; Mammalia; Rodentia; Spalacidae. The record is from RefSeq and is a predicted model, not a curated record. The transcript has 3 exons.